AACGAACGCUGGCGGCGUGCCUAACACAUGCAAGUCGAGGGAGAAAGCCCGCAAGGGUGAGUAAACCGGCGAACGGGUGCGUAACACGUGGAUAAUCUACCUCGGUGACCGGAAUAACUGGCCGAAAGGCUUGCUAAUACCGGAUAAGCCCACGACGUCUUCGGACGACGAGGGAAAAGGUGGCCUCUGCAUGCAAGCUAUCACACCGGGAUGAGUCCGCGGCCCAUCAGCUAGUUGGCGGGGAAUGGCCCACCAAGGCUACGACGGGUAGCUGGUCUGAGAGGAUGAUCAGCCACACUGGAACUGAGACACGGUCCAGACUCCUACGGGAGGCAGCAGUGGGGAAUCUUGCGCAAUGGGCGAAAGCCGUNAUGGUGCGACGCCGCGUGAGGGAUGAAGGCCUCGGUUGUAA
RNAcentral lists this ribosomal RNA (412 nucleotides) under uncultured bacterium. Its description in RNAcentral is "bacterial SSU rRNA". It matches the Rfam family "Bacterial small subunit ribosomal RNA", at positions 29 to 428 of the family's 1533-position model. The record is from RNAcentral.